UUUUGUUUCUUAGGCAGAAGCAGUUUCGAACGUCUUCUGUUCUAUUUAAAAUCUAAAAUCCUUGCAGCUUUGUGAUCCAUGUUGGUUGAGUUUAAGAUGGAUGCUCUCUCUUUGUGAAGGGAAUGUGUCUGAAACAACGAAUAAUGAUUUUAGACCCUAUUCAUCUUGGAUCAAAUUGAGCGAGUUUUUAGUUAGUUCUGCGUACAUACCCAAGGGUUUAAAGCAUUUCCAGUUAUUAUUAUUUUAGCCUUGGCUUUUUUUUUCUUUGUAUAGAAAAUCAGGCGAAAUUUAGUGGAAUUUGGCUGGCAAUAGGUGGGAAGCCGAUGCUAUUACCUCAGAACUCCCUCUUCCGGGGAUAUUUCAACUAGUUUUGAACGUUAUUAGUUAUCUUAAUUGAUAAAUGAUGCACAUAAAGCGUCCCCGGCGCUUUCUGUGCUCAUUAUGUUUUAUAUCUCAGGGAUUUUAAUGCAUUUUUUCGUGCCUCCCUACCAGAGAGAGGUUCAGAAGAUGCCUUGGCAUUAGUAUUAAAGGGACGAAUCAAGGAGGAAGGAAUUACCCUGGGAUUGCAAAGGGCUCAUCACACGUGAAGUGCUUUCUGAUUGGCCAACGUAUUGUGCUCUGGAUUACUUCAAACAACUUUCAAUAAGAAAAGUGGCCAUGUUUACGGGCCUUAACUUUGACAUACAA
Long non-coding RNA from Stylophora pistillata, 687 nucleotides. The record is from RefSeq and is a predicted model, not a curated record. Lineage: Eukaryota; Metazoa; Cnidaria; Anthozoa; Scleractinia; Pocilloporidae.